UGAGGGUGCGUAGGCGGCUCUGCAAGUCAGGUGUGAAAACUAUCGGCUCAACCGGUAGACUGCAUUUGAAACUGUGGAGCUUGAGUGGAGCAGAGGCAGAUGGAAUUCCCGGUGUAGCGGUGAAAUGCGUAGAGAUCGGGAGGAACACCAGUGGCGAAGGCGAUCUGCUGGGCUUUAACUGACGCUGAGGCACGAAAGCAUGGGUAGCAAACAGGAUUAGAUACCCUGGUAGUCCAUGCCGUAAACGAUGAUUACUAGGUGUGGGGGGUCUGACCCCCUCCGUGCCGGAGUUAACACAAUAAGUAAUCCACCUGGGAAGUACGACCGCAAGGUUGAAACUCAAAGGAAUUGACGGGGGCCCGCACAAGCAGUGGAGUAUGUGGUUUAAUUCGAAGCAACGCGAAGAACCUUACCAGGUCUUGACAUCCAACUAAUCCUGUAGAGAUACGGGAGUGCCCUUCGGGGAAAGUUGAGACAGGUGGUGCAUGGUUGUCGUCAGCUCGUGUCGUGAGAUGUUGGGUUAAGUCCCGCAACGGGCGCAACCCCUAUUAUUAGUUGCUACGCAAGAGCACUCUAAUGAGACUGCCGUUGACAAAACGGAGGAAGGUGGGGAUGACGUCAAAUCAUCAUGCCCCUUAUGACCUGGGCUACACACGUACUACAAUGGCACUCAAACAAAGGCGGCCACACCCGCAAGGUGGAGCGAAUCCCAAAAAAGUGCCACAGUUCGGAUUGCAGCUGC
This 742-nucleotide ribosomal RNA is filed under the name uncultured bacterium. Its description in RNAcentral is "bacterial SSU rRNA". It matches the Rfam family "Bacterial small subunit ribosomal RNA", at positions 562 to 1308 of the family's 1533-position model. The record is from RNAcentral.